This is a long non-coding RNA of Suricata suricatta (meerkat), 1064 nucleotides long. RefSeq lists it as uncharacterized. The record is from RefSeq and is a predicted model, not a curated record. Lineage: Eukaryota; Metazoa; Chordata; Mammalia; Carnivora; Herpestidae. The transcript has 2 exons.
ACACGCUUACAAAUACUCCCUAGUUCUGGAAGCAGUGACAUCUCAGUAGUCUUGAGCACACCUGGCUCUCAGAUCGUGGCUUCUAAAUACCAUUUUCCAUUCAAAGGGGCUAGAACUUCGUGGAGAAACGGUCCGUUCCAGAGCGGGGGCAGGGAGGGCACAAGAUGUGUGCAGACAUCGUGCUGUGACAGAAAGCAAGGGGGUGUUCAAACGAGGUUGGGAAGGGUCAGAGGGACACCGAGGCCGGCGCGCAUGGGCCGCUGACAGACUGGACACAGCAUGAUCAUCAGAACAAGUCACAGCGCGUUGAGGAACACGGGAAGCCAUGUGUUCUCUUCAGUAGGAACACACGAGUGAAUUACAUGCCUGAUGUGAACAGAAGAACACGCAUGUGGCCAGCACCUCACUACGGAAGGCUGACAGGUUGCAAAGGUGGAAGGAACGGCGGCCGUGGAGGAGCCUUUGGGUCGGGCAGUGGGCGCCACGCAAGCCUGCCUCUGUGGCCUUCGGACACAUCCUGGCCACCACCUGAACACAUCCUUGCCUUCUGUUCUAGACACAUCCUGUGCUCUCCUUGCCCCGGCGCUGGACCUGGUGUGUCUCCAAACACCAUCUUAACCAAGUGAUCAAAGUGACCAUGACCAGAAAUGGGACAAAUUCACACCACGGGGCAUCUGAUAAGACGCAGAGAGGAGAGCGUCACCUCACUCAUGGGACGUUCUUGCCAAAGGUCCACACCGAGGGGACCUCAGACGAUCUCCACUCGAAGGAAAUUCUGUCAAAGAAACGUGUCAAGUAAGUUUCCAAAUUUGAAAUGUUUCGAAGCUGAUGAAUAAAGGCAAGCUAAAGACCUCCUUGAAAGCUCGGGGUCCUCUCUGGAACGUGGGCGUCAGCCACCACCUGUUACACGCCACCUAUCAUGAGCGACAGCACGUAACCUCGGGUCUGCGGGCCAGCAGUGUUUCCGAUUUGUCAGGAGGUGCUUUCCAGAUUCAUCCUUGCAAAAAUCUGCCUCUUUUCCUUCUGGUUAAGAGUUUUAAUAAAGUCACCAAGUAUUGUUGUUA